GUGAAUGUGGACCAAGUCCUAAGGUUCACUUUUAGAUAUGUAUAACAUGGAUUUAACAUUCAAGGACGAAUGUCAUAUAAGGGGGGCAGAAUUUGAAGCCCCAAGAUAAUUUAAUGCUUAUUAAAAAUCUUGAAUUUAUAUUCAUUUGAUGGAGAUUAUGUGAGAGAAUUAGAUUUCUAAGUUUCAAGAUGAUGUGAGUAUGAAAAUACAUAUUUGAACGGGUCAAAAGCAGAUUUAAUUGAAUGGGUGGAGUAAUUAUUGAAUAUAUGUGUAAUGUGUACACACACUGGAGGCAUUAAUUUAUAAGUGAGAGUUUUAGUCAUUAUAAUUAGGGGCAUGUUGUAUGUGUUUAGCUGGUUAGUUAAAUAAUAUGAAUUAUUUAUUUGAGAAAAAGAUAAAUAUAUAUGGGUCAAGCCUACAAAUUUACUGCAUACAACGUGUGCCUUCGUGGCUGCUAACAGAGAACGAAAAAAAAAGGUUACAGGGUUUAGUUUUAAUUUGUCCUUUGUAACUUCUGCUGCUCUUGUCUCUCGUAUACAAAAGAUUAAAUUGUUGAUUGUCAUUGGAAAAAGGUAGAAGUUAACCUUGCUAGCAGUGAAGAAUCUUGAGGUGAGUUAAGACUUGCUCUUACUAAAGUCUUUUCUUACAAAGUCAGGUCUAUAAGGUGUUUGACAAAAUGCUUCUAAAUACGAAUGUGAGUUCAAUUGGAACGAGUGAGUUCACAUUGCCUUUGUUUAGUUAGUUACCCUGUGCUCUCUGUUUUCUCUUUGGAUUUAUCAAACUAACGUGGUAGUUACUACAUUGCAGUAUCAUAUGUCCUGAAAAUUAACUUUCAUAGUUGACAUACCAAAAGCAAUGAUAUUCUUAAGUUUAAUGUCCCAAAACAGUGAUUGUUCUCUGGAAACAUGAUCGAGUCUUCCAUCCAAAAUUUGUGUGAUUCUCUUUCAUGUUGGUAAUAACCGUAAUGUACUCCCUUAGAUCAGCAACUUGUUGGAACUUUAAAGAAAACUUAAAUAACUUAGUAAUCGUACAAAAUGGUUACCAGUAGCCGUAUAAAGGGUUACCGACUUGCCAUGAUUCAUUAUAUCUGAAUGGUGACCGUAUAAAGGGUCGCAAGCAACCGUACAAAGGGUUGCCACGAUUGUCAUAAUGAGGCACAAAUUUAGUGGUUGUAUAAAGGGCCACGAGUAACCGUAUAAGGGGCUACUCAUUACCAUAGUGGACAGAAUUAAAAAUGUUCAAUCGACUGAAUCAAUUUAAAGAAAGCGAAAAGAAUGAACUAAUUAAAUAAGCUAUAAGUUUUGUGAUUGUUCUCUUGCUUUACUCUGUAAUAUGCUCCAUAAGGCAUGCUGACUUGUUUUCUCUCAUUCCCUUAUCCCAUAUAUGUUUUAUACAAUGUCUCGUUCUGAUAUUAGUAAUGGGGAAUGUUGAGACUCUAGUGGUGUACUGACGUUCUCUUUGUGGAACCUAUAUUGACUUAUGUCAAUGUAGGUGUGCAGGUAAUAUAGACGAGCAGACUACAAGCUAAGCCGUUUUAUUCUAGAAGCUGAUUGGUGUGCUCCGCUCUUGAUCGUGGAGUUUCUCUUCUUUCAUCAACUUCAUUCACUUAUUUCUUUUUCAGUAUUCACUUUAGAGAUUAGCCAGGAAAUCUAUGUCCUGUGCAUUCCUCUUAGCACUCUAGUAGAGGCUUCAUAGACGUAUUUUUAGUUGGCUAUGGUUGAUCAUGUUACUUUGAAUUACUCUAAGAAUCAUUUGAACUGGUGUUCUAAUAAAGAUACUUGUCAUUUAUUUUAUAUGUGUGUGGGGUAUGUGACAUGAAAUUACAUGUUAGAAUAGUUAAGUCGGUUGGCUCGGUAA
RNAcentral lists this long non-coding RNA (1857 nucleotides) under Capsicum annuum. Its description in RNAcentral is "long non-coding RNA (CANN_LNC013058)". The record is from RNAcentral. Lineage: Eukaryota; Viridiplantae; Streptophyta; Magnoliopsida; Solanales; Solanaceae.